AAAGAAAACCGCCUGCUGGUGCCGCGCGUCGUUUACGGGUAUUUCCCCUGCCAAUCGGCGAGUAACGAUCUAAUCAUCUACCACGAUGACGAAAAAACUGAGCGACUGCGGUUUACUUUUCCUCGUCAGCCGACGGGCAAGCAUCUAUGCCUCGCGGAUUUCUUCGCCCCGGAAGACUCAGGCAGAAUCGAUGUUGUAGCCUUCCAUCUCGUUACAGUAGGACGUCGCGCAAGCGAGUAUUCGCAAGAACUAUUUAAAGCGGACAACUACGCUGACUACCUCUAUUUUCAUGGUCUAAGUGUGGAAAGCGCCGAAGCACUUGCGGAGCUAUGGCAUAAGCAAAUUCGCGAAGAGCUGGAAAUUGCCGCCCAGGAUGCGCCAGACGUAACUAAGCUUUUUC
Molecule: unclassified non-coding RNA, 400 nt
Filed under: uncultured fungus
Lineage: Eukaryota; Fungi
Description: sequence contains ITS1
Source: RNAcentral